Molecule: transfer RNA, 23 nt
Filed under: Alectoris chukar (chukar partridge)
Lineage: Eukaryota; Metazoa; Chordata; Aves; Galliformes; Phasianidae
Description: partial tRNA-Glu
Source: RNAcentral
GUUCCCGUAGUUGAGAACAACGA